CGGGACGGGUGAGUAAUGUCUGGGAAACUGCCUGAUGGAGGGGGAUAACUAUUGGAAACGGUAGCUAAUACCGCAUAACGUCGCAAGACCAAAGAGGGGGACCUUCGGGCCUCUUGCCAUCGGAUGUGCCCAGAUGGGAUUAGCUAGUAGGUGGGGUAACGGCUCACCUAGGCGACGAUCCCUAGCUGGUCUGAGAGGAUGACCAGCCACACUGGAACUGAGACACGGUCCAG
RNAcentral lists this ribosomal RNA (233 nucleotides) under uncultured bacterium. RNAcentral's name for it is "partial 16S ribosomal RNA". It matches the Rfam family "Bacterial small subunit ribosomal RNA", at positions 100 to 334 of the family's 1533-position model. The record is from RNAcentral.